RNAcentral lists this ribosomal RNA (381 nucleotides) under uncultured eukaryote. Its description in RNAcentral is "SSU rRNA". It matches the Rfam family "Eukaryotic small subunit ribosomal RNA", at positions 587 to 972 of the family's 1831-position model. The record is from RNAcentral.
AGCUCCAAUAGCGUAUAUUAAAGUUGUUGCGGUUAAAAAGCUCGUAGUUGGAUUUCUGUUGGAGGUCAGCGGUCUACCUUUUGGGUAAGUAUCUGUUUGAGCUCCGGCAUCUUUCUAGAAUACGUUCCUGCGCUUGAUUGCGUGGGGCGGAGUCUAGGACUUUUACUUUGAGGAAAUUAGAGUGUUCACGGCAGGCAAUCGCCCUGAAUAUAUUAGCAUGGAAUAAUGAUAUAGGAUUUCGGUUCUAUUUUGUUGGUUUCUAGAGCUGGAAUAAUGAUUAAUAGGGACAAUUGGGGGCACUUGUACUAUGAGGUCAGAGGUGAAAUUCUUGGAUUCUCAUAUGACAAACUACUGCGAAAGCAUUUGCCAAGGAUGUUUUCA